Molecule: ribosomal RNA, 459 nt
Filed under: uncultured bacterium
Lineage: Bacteria
Description: partial 16S ribosomal RNA
Rfam family: Bacterial small subunit ribosomal RNA
Source: RNAcentral
CCUACGGGAGGCAGCAGUGAGGAAUAUUGGUCAAUGGUCGGGAGACUGAACCAGCCAAGCCGCGUGAGGGAUGAAGGUACAGAGUAUCGUAAACCUCUUUUGUCAGGGAACAAAGGCGGGGACGUGUCCCCGGAUGAGUGUACCUGAAGAAAAAGCAUCGGCUAACUCCGUGCCAGCAGCCGCGGUAAUACGGAGGAUGCGAGCGUUAUCGGGUUUUGUGGGGUUUAAAGGGUGCGCAGGCGGUCUGUUAAGUCAGCGGGCAAAGCCCGGGGCUCAACCCCGGCCCGCAGUUGAAACUGGCAGUCUCGAGUGGGAGAGAGGUAGGCGGAAUGCGCGGUGUAGCGGUGAAAUGCAUAGAUAUCGCGCAGAACUCCGAUUGCGAAGGCAGCAUGCCGGCUCCACACUGACGCUGAGGCACGAAAGCGUGGGUAUCGAACAGGAUUAGAUACCCGAGUAGUC